Eriocheir sinensis (Chinese mitten crab) is the source of this 2034-nucleotide long non-coding RNA. RefSeq lists it as uncharacterized. NCBI's taxonomy places the organism in Eukaryota, Metazoa, Arthropoda, Malacostraca, Decapoda, Varunidae. The record is from RefSeq and is a predicted model, not a curated record. The transcript has 5 exons.
AGACAGGUUAGACCAGACAGAUUAGGCCAGACAGAUUAGGCCACUCCAGACAGGUUAGGCCAUACAGAUUAGGCCACUCCAGACAGGUUAGGCCAGACAGAUUAGGCCACUCCAGACAGGUUAGGCCAGACAGAUUAGGCCACUCCAGACAGGUUAGGCCAGACAGAUUAGGCCACUCCAGACAGGUUAGGCCAGACAGAUUAGGCCACUCCAGACAGGUUAGGCCAGACAGAUUAGGCCACUCCAGACAGGUUAGGCCAGACAGAUUAGGCCACUCCAGACGGGUUAGGCCAGACAGAUUAGGCCACUCCAGACGGGGUAGGCCAGACAGAUUAGGCCACUCCAGACGGGUUAGGCCAGACAGAUUAGGCCACUCCAGACAGGUUAGGCCAGACAGAUUAGGCCACUCCAGACAGGUUAGGCCAGACAGAUUAGGCCACUCCAGACGGGUUAGGCCAGACAGAUUAGGCCACUCCAGACGGGUUAGGCCAGACAGAUUAGGCCACCCCAGACAGGUUAGGCCAGACAGAUUUGGCCACUCCAGACGGGUUAGGCCAGACAGAUCAGGCCACUCCAGACAGGUUAGGCCAGACAGAUUAGGCCACUCCAGACGGGUUAGGCCAGACAGAUUAGGCCCUCCAGACAGGUUAGGCCAGACAGAUUAGGCCCUCCAGACAGGUUAAGCCCCUUCCACACGGUGCGGGCCAAAGGGUAGGCUAGGUUAGGUUAGGUUAGCGCCGCGCAUCUCUCCAGGGAAAACUUAUUCAGUAUCUUGGAUGAUUUCUAUGUGAUUUGUUGUACGUUCCUUUUCCUCUUUCAAGUUUUUUUUUUUCUUAUAUAUUUACCGGCCAAAGGUUAGGUUAGGUUAGGUUAGGUUAGCGCCGCGCAUCUCCAAGGGAAAACUCAUUCAGUAUCUUGGUUGAUUUCUAUGUGAUUUGUUGUGCGUUCCUUUUCCUCUUUCAAGUUCUUUUUUUUUUUUUUAUAUAUAUUUACAGCACGUCUUGGUCUGUGGUUUGUGGCGCUGGAAUGCCUGCGGACGAAACUAUAAUCUUUAAAGGCGCGAAAGUUCUCGUUUAUCCCGUUUAUCUCGUUUAUUUAUAUUCUUAGUUAAGUUCAACGUGCACUCCAGACAGCUUAUAGCACGCCUUGGUCUGUGUUCUGUGGCGCUGGGUUAAGGUAUGUAAGUGGAGUGAAAAUUCUCGUUUAUCUCGUUUAUAUACAGUCAUAGUUAGGUUAAAACUACACUCCAGACAGGUUAUAGCACGCCUUGGUCUGUGUUCUGUGGCGCUGGGUUAAGGUAUGUAAGUGGAGUGAAAAUUCUCGUUUAUCUCGUUUAUAUACAGUCAUAGUAAGGUUAAAACUACACUCCAGACAGGUUAUAGCACGCCUUGGUCUGUGUUCUGUGGCGCUGAGUCAGAAUCUAUAUAAUGGAGUGACUAUUUGCUUUUAUCUCGGUUAUAUACAGUCAUUGUUAGGUUAAAAGUACACUCCAGACAGGUUAUAGCACGCCUUGGUCUGUGUUCUGUGGCGCUGAGUCAGAAUCUAUAUAAUGGAGUGACUAUUUGCUUUUAUCUCGUUUAUAUACAGUCAUUGUUAGGUUAAAAGUACACUCCAGACAGGUUAUAAUACGCCUUGGUCUGUGUUUUGUGGCGCUGAAUCAGAAUCUAUUAGUCGAGCGAAAGUUCUCAUUUAUCUUUUUUUAUAUACAGUCCUGUUAAGCUAAAAGUGCACUCCAGACAGCUUACAGCACGCCUUGGUCUGUGUUCUCCGGCGCUGGGAUGCUUGUGGAGACCUGGGGGUGGAUGUGGCCGGGUGUGGCUGGGUGUAGCGGGGCGGAGCUGGGUGGAGGCGUUGCAGUGGGUGAUGUGGGGCUCAGGGUCACCUGCAGAAAGCUUGAUUGCAACGCCUACACCUUGUCCUGCCACCACACCUCGGGAGCCGCGGCGUGAGGGGCAUACACACACACACACACACACACUUUUCUUUUAUCUUCGUUUUCUCUCUCGCUUUCUUUCUUUUUUUCUUUCUUUUUCC